GCGGACGUGGCGGAACGGUAGACGCUGGGGACUUAAAAUCCUCUUCCCGUAACGGGAGUGUGGGUUCGAUUCCCACCGUCCGCACCA
This 87-nucleotide transfer RNA is filed under the name Sphingomonas sp. RNAcentral's name for it is "tRNA-Leu". It matches the Rfam family "tRNA". From Rfam's summary of the family: Transfer RNA (tRNA) molecules are approximately 80 nucleotides in length. Their secondary structure includes four short double-helical elements and three loops (D, anti-codon, and T loops). Further hydrogen bonds mediate the characteristic L-shaped molecular structure. tRNAs have two regions of fundamental functional importance: the anti-codon, which is responsible for specific mRNA codon recognition, and the 3' end, to which the tRNAs corresponding amino acid is attached (by aminoacyl-tRNA synthetases). tRNAs cope with the degeneracy of the genetic code in two manners: having more than one tRNA (with a specific anti-codon) for a particular amino acid; and 'wobble' base-pairing, i.e. permitting non-standard base-pairing at the 3rd anti-codon position. RNAcentral also lists the same sequence under 6 other names. The record is from RNAcentral. Lineage: Bacteria; Pseudomonadati; Pseudomonadota; Alphaproteobacteria; Sphingomonadales; Sphingomonadaceae.